Molecule: non-coding RNA, 30 nt
Filed under: Rattus norvegicus (Norway rat)
Lineage: Eukaryota; Metazoa; Chordata; Mammalia; Rodentia; Muridae
Source: RNAcentral
UGUUUGCUUUUGAAUGACCAUAGCUUGCUU